AGCUUUGCGCAGUGGCAGUAUCGUAGCCAAUGAGGUUUAUCCGAGGCGCGAUUAUUGCUAAUUGAAAACUUUUCCUAGCAGCCACAUCAGGCUGCACAUUCUGGAAACCGUAUGCGA
This 117-nucleotide small nuclear RNA is filed under the name Neogale vison (American mink). RNAcentral describes it as "Neovison vison (American mink) U4 spliceosomal RNA (ENSNVIG00000009440.1)". It matches the Rfam family "U4 spliceosomal RNA". From Rfam's summary of the family: U4 small nuclear RNA (U4 snRNA) is a component of the major U2-dependent spliceosome. The structure of U4 snRNA from yeast and human has been reported. U4 snRNA presents a k-turn RNA motif in the 5p-SL related to recognition of Snu13 protein. The record is from Rfam by way of RNAcentral. Lineage: Eukaryota; Metazoa; Chordata; Mammalia; Carnivora; Mustelidae.